AAAAAAAUCUGCCAUAGUAUAUGUAACAUCCCCUUUUCAAAGGGAAAGGCUGUGAUUUUUGUACAUAGUCUUUUAUACUAGCAAUAACCGUCUAACAGUUUGGCGCUGAAGUGACAGUGGUCCCGAAUUCCAAGUAAUUAAGUCAAUUAAGAUUUCAGCUAUCCUCUUCUUCCUCUGGUGCAGAAGUGGGAGCUACCUGGAACUUCUUUUGUGCUGCACACACUCCAUAGUCCUGUCUCGGACUUGAUACAGCCUUCAGAGCUGGUGAACACUGAUCCUCAGCUGGCCAGAGAGGUUACUCCAGAAUACGGCCACUUGCUACCAGAUAUCCACAAGGCCAUUGCCACCUUUGACCACAAUCCCACCUUCCCAAGCACUCCUCCAAAACAAGCUGCCUUCCCAAGGUUGCCUAACCCAGGAGCCUCAGUCGUGGACCAGGACAAAAGAUGGGCCCUGCCUCAAAGAGCUAACAAUCUAAUGGCCCUAGAUUUCUGCAAUUGGAUCCACACAGAGGGACCCUUGUGUUUGGUCAGAGCCCCAUUGUUGGACUGAGGCUGCAGUUUUCAUAUUUAUUAAAUUAAUAAUAUUAAGCUUUAUCUGAACACCUCUCUCCCAAAUGCAUAACUAUGAACGAGGCAAGCAACAUAUCAAGAGUUUUUGCUUUAUAGCUGUAAGGGAUUAACUUCCUUCUGAAAAUGAGGAAAGUCAAAUAAUAGAGAGGUUAGGUUGCGUGGGAUGCUUAAAAUCUGAGCUAGGGAAGAGCCCCUUUGAAAAUAACAUGUCUGCUAGUCAACACUCUGAUCAAAUCUGCUUGUAUGUUGCAUACCUUUUCCACAUCCUUUUUCUGCCUUUUCUGUUUAUAUAUUAAGCUCUCUGAGCCAGGGAGCGUCUUUCUAUGGAUUUGUACAGUAUCUAGUACAAGGAAGUGUUCGGCUCCUUGUUGGGACCUCUGGGUGUCACUGUCAUACACAUAAUAAAUAGCAGUAAUUCAUAAAAGCCUUGCUGAACCGAAGUAGGUGAUAAGUAAGGAAAGGUUAUCUUGAACAACAAAGCAUUAUCUAAAAUUGGUGAUAAAAACAAGCACAAACUGCUGUCAAAGGAAUUGCAUGAAUUGAGUUUAAGAUGAAAUUGAAUAGGGGGAUGCCCUCCAAGGAUACAUGUUGGUAUAAUGAUGGACUAGGAAUUCCUUGAAAUGGAAAGAAAUGCCUAUACUCAGAACAGUGGAAACUGGAUUGAAUGAUCAAAUUGUUGGGAGCGUGAUAGCUAACCACUCCCUUUCGGGACAUUUUAGAGGGAAAAGAACAUCAACAUCCGUGUUUCAGGAUCUUACAGUCCCCAGGGUAACCCUGGUGAACUUGUAUGCAACAGAUAAUAUCGUCACUAGUGGACUUUGGAGGCAUUUCUUGUUACAUUCAGGCAACAGUGAAGCUGUUAUGCUAUCACAAUUAAAUCAGCUGAAUCCAAAGCAAUCUCUGGGAACUAAGAUAUGAGCAUCCUGCUCUCCAUUCCCCCUGCGAUAUUCUGUUUUCUUUCUUUUCUGUUUGGCUUUUGCCUAAAGAAACUCAAUCAAUUUAGUUUAUCAAAGUGAAGAUUUACAAGGUGACUUUGACUUGAACACUGUCUAUAAAUACCCUGCAUAGGGAAAAGACUUCAAUCUAGAAGAAAAAAGCGUAACCAGAUCCAAUGGCUGGAAGCUGAAGUUAGAUAAAUUCAUACUAGAAAUAAGGUGCAAAUUUUUACCAGUGAGAGUAAUUAAUCAUUGGAACAAUUUUGCCUAAGGAAGUGGUGGAUUCUCCAUUACAGGAAGUUGUUAAGAUUAGCUGGCUUUUUAAAUGAGAUGGUCUAACACGGGGGUUGGUAACCUUUAAGAAGUGGUGUGCCGAGUCUCAUUUAUUCACUCUGAUUUAAGGCUGCGCAUGCCAGUCAUACAUUUAAACAUUUUUAGAAGGUCUCUUUCUAUAAGUCUCUAAUAUAUAACUAAACUAUUGUUGUACAUAAAGUAAGCAAGGUUUUAAAAAUGUUUAAUAAGCUUCAUUUAAAAUUAAAAUAAAAUGCAGAGUCCCCCGGACUGGUGGCCAGGACCCAGGCAGUCAGAGUGCCACUGAAAAUCAGCUUGCGUGCUGCCUUUGGCACACAUGCAAUAGGUUGCCUACCCCUGCUCUAGCACAACCAGAAGUGAUCAUAUUGAUGCAGGAAUCACUUAGUGAAAUUCUCUGGUCUGUGUUAUGCAGGAGGUCAGACUCAAUAAUAGUCACAUCUGGUCUUAAAAUAGAUUAAUCAGUUCCAAGAUUAACCAUCUUUGAAAUUAACUGAACUCCACAUUAUCAUCCCCAUAACAAGACAGAACAGGCUAAGACUUGAACCAGAUUUGCACCAACAUGAAGGAAGACCAAUGAGAAGAAACCAGAGCAGACCAGCCAGAUGUCAUCCCAGACUGGGGAAGCGAAUGGGGUGAAGAGGAUAAAAUGCACCAGUUUGUGACUGACCUGUGUACCAUAUCCUGCCUACGGCAUGUGAAUUAAGCAGGCAGCAGUGAGAGAGAAGUUCUUCUUUCUUUCCUUUCCCUUCUCUUCUUUUGUGUGCAUUUGCCUAAAGAGCAGGACUGAUCAUAACAAGAACAACACCAGCAGCAGACUGAAACACUUUUCUCCAACAAAGCCUUCUGGUACCAGCAAGAAACUUUUGAAAUCAACAUUUUCCCUCUGAAAGACUUUGAAUGUGAAUGAAAUAUGAAGGAUAUUGAAUAUAAUAUAAUGAAUAACCAUUUAACUUUGAAUUCCAAGAAUUUUAAUGUUUCUAUUUUGCAUGUCUUUUUUUUUUUUUUAAACAAAUGUUUGGAAGGAUUGUCCUAGUGUGGUCAUUAUGGGAAAAGCAUCCCUUUUACACAAGAACCUGAAUCCACAAUUAACAGUUUCGUGUUUAAAUAGGAAAACACAGGUUCUAGUAUCACCUUAGCAUCUUGGAGCCUAGUACCUAUCUAUCACAACAUAACACAAUGGUGAUUUGUUGGUUUAUAUAUUUAAUCUCAUUAGUGGUGCAAUAAUUAAAUAGACAUAUCUUGCCAACAGCAUAUCACAUUUUAUUUGUGCUAACUGUGCUAAUUAACUGUAUUCACUGAGCAAAAUGCACUAAAUUAAAGAAAUUAAGAGAUUCCAAGUUCCACCAUUGUAGCACCAAGCCUUUCUCUUGGAGCAAAUCCAAAUUGCCUUCUGUAAAACCUUUAAUAUGUCUCCAACACAUAAAACUAAUCCUCAUCUUGCAAAAUUUUUAUUUUAGUUAUCUUGUAGAAAGCCUUGUGUACCUAGAUCCUAAGAUCUCUAGAAUGACCUAUACACUCAGGAUCACUGGAUAGACCCAAUAAUGGCAGAUUUUCUUCUGUUUGCUGCUAUGUAGUAGGAUUGAAUCUUGCCUGCUGUUUUUGUAUGCCAGAUGCAAAUUUUUUAAAAAAUAAAAUUCUUUUGGCAGGA
Molecule: long non-coding RNA, 3467 nt
Organism: Gopherus flavomarginatus (Mexican gopher tortoise)
Lineage: Eukaryota; Metazoa; Chordata; Testudines; Testudinidae
Exons: 2
Source: RefSeq, a predicted model, not a curated record